RNAcentral lists this ribosomal RNA (520 nucleotides) under uncultured Glomus. RNAcentral describes it as "SSU rRNA". It matches the Rfam family "Eukaryotic small subunit ribosomal RNA", at positions 569 to 1088 of the family's 1831-position model. The record is from RNAcentral. Lineage: Eukaryota; Fungi; Glomeromycota; Glomeromycetes; Glomerales; Glomeraceae.
AGCAGCCGCGGUAAUUCCAGCUCCAAUAGCGUAUAUUAAAGUUGUUGCAGUUAAAAAGCUCGUAGUUGAAUUUCGGGAUCAAUAUGUCGGUCGUGCCUUGGUACGUACUGGCAUUAUUGGUUUUUACCUUCUGAAGAACCUCGAUGUCAUUAAUUUGGUGUCUUGGGGAAUCAGGACUGUUACUUUGAAAAAAUUAGAGUGUUUAAAGCAGGCUCGCGCUUGAAUACAUUAGCAUGGAAUAAUGAAAUAGGACGUUUGAUUCUAUUUUGUUGGUUUCUAGGAUUGACGUAAUGAUUAAUAGGGAUAGUUGGGGGCAUUAGUAUUCAAUUGUCAGAGGUGAAAAUUCUUGGAUUUUAUUGAAGACUAACUACUGCGAAAAGCAUUUGCCAAGGAUGUUUUCAUUAAUCAAGAACGAAAGUUAGGGGAUCGAAGACGAUCAGAUACCGUCGUAGUCUUAACCAUAAACUAUGCCGACUAGGGAUCGGAUGAUGUUAAUUUUUAAUGUACUCAUUCGGCGCCU